CAACAAUAUGGUGAUCCCUGGGAAGCUCGGGUUUACCAGGUUGCCUAAGGAGGGGUGAACCGGCCCAGGUCGGAAAUGGAGCAGGUCAAAAUUUCCGUG
RNAcentral lists this small RNA (99 nucleotides) under Chelydra serpentina (North American snapping turtle). RNAcentral's name for it is "Metazoan signal recognition particle RNA (ENSCSRG00000014436.1)". It matches the Rfam family "Metazoan signal recognition particle RNA", at positions 125 to 223 of the family's 299-position model. From Rfam's summary of the family: The signal recognition particle (SRP) is a universally conserved ribonucleoprotein. It is involved in the co-translational targeting of proteins to membranes. Lineage: Eukaryota; Metazoa; Chordata; Testudines; Chelydridae. The record is from Rfam by way of RNAcentral.